UUGGCCCAAUUGAUUGAUGGUGCUUGCACCUGAUUGAUUUUGGUCGCCAACGAGUGGCGGACGGGUGAGUAACACGUAGGUAACCUGCCCAGAAGCGGGGGACAACAUUUGGAAACAGAUGCUAAUACCGCAUAACAGCGUUGUUCGCAUGAACAACGCUUAAAAGAUGGCUUCUCGCUAUCACUUCUGGAUGGACCUGCGGUGCAUUAGCUUGUUGGUGGGGUAAUGGCCUACCAAGGCGAUGAUGCAUAGCCGAGUUGAGAGACUGAUCGGCCACAAUGGGACUGAGACACGGCCCAUACUCCUACGGGAGGCAGCAGUAGGGAAUCUUCCACAAUGGGCGCAAGCCUGAUGGAGCAACACCGCGUGAGUGAAGAAGGGUUUCGGCUCGUAAAGCUCUGUUGUUAAAGAAGAACACGUAUGAGAGUAACUGUUCAUACGUUGACGGUAUUUAACCAGAAAGUCACGGCUAACUACGUGCCAGCAGCCGCGGUAAUACGUAGGUGGCAAGCGUUAUCCGGAUUUAUUGGGCGUAAAGAGAGUGCAGGCGGUUUUCUAAGUCUGAUGUGAAAGCCUUCGGCUUAACCGGAGAAGUGCAUCGGAAACUGGAUAACUUGAGUGCAGAAGAGGGUAGUGGAACUCCAUGUGUAGCGGUGGAAUGCGUAGAUAUAUGGAAGAACACCAGUGGCGAAGGCGGCUACCUGGUCUGCAACUGACGCUGAGACUCGAAAGCAUGGGUAGCGAACAGGAUUAGAUACCCUGGUAGUCCAUGCCGUAAACGAUGAGUGCUAGGUGUUGGAGGGUUUCCGCCCUUCAGUGCCGGAGCUAACGCAUUAAGCACUCCGCCUGGGGAGUACGACCGCAAGGUUGAAACUCAAAGGAAUUGACGGGGGCCCGCACAAGCGGUGGAGCAUGUGGUUUAAUUCGAAGCUACGCGAAGAACCUUACCAGGUCUUGACAUCUUGCGCCAACCCUAGAGAUAGGGCGUUUCCUUCGGGAACGCAAUGACAGGUGGUGCAUGGUCGUCGUCAGCUCGUGUCGUGAGAUGUUGGGUUAAGUCCCGCAACGAGCGCAACCCUUGUUACUAGUUGCCAGCAUUAAGUUGGGCACUCUAGUGAGACUGCCGGUGACAAACCGGAGGAAGGUGGGGACGACGUCAGAUCAUCAUGCCCCUUAUGACCUGGGCUACACACGUGCUACAAUGGACGGUACAACGAGUCGCGAACUCGCGAGGGCAAGCAAAUCUCUUAAAACCGUUCUCAGUUCGGACUGCAGGCUGCAACUCGCCUGCACGAAGUCGGAAUCGCUAGUAAUCGCGGAUCAGCAUGCCGCGGUGAAUACGUUCCCGGGCCUUGUACACACCGCCCGUCACACCAUGAGAGUUUGUAACACCCAAAGUCGGUGGGGUAACCUUUUAGGAGCCAGCCGCCUAAGGUGGGACA
Molecule: ribosomal RNA, 1442 nt
Filed under: Limosilactobacillus fermentum
Lineage: Bacteria; Bacillati; Bacillota; Bacilli; Lactobacillales; Lactobacillaceae
Description: bacterial SSU rRNA
Rfam family: Bacterial small subunit ribosomal RNA
Source: RNAcentral